RNAcentral lists this ribosomal RNA (427 nucleotides) under uncultured bacterium. RNAcentral's name for it is "bacterial SSU rRNA". It matches the Rfam family "Bacterial small subunit ribosomal RNA", at positions 64 to 507 of the family's 1533-position model. The record is from RNAcentral.
GAACGAGAAAGUGGAGCAAUCCAUGAGUACAGUGGCGACCGGGUGAGUAACACGUGAUCAACCUACCCUCGAGUGGGGAACAACCUAGGGAAACCUGGGCUAAUACCGCAUAACAUCUGCGGGUCGGAAGACCUGUUGAUCAAAGGAGCAAUUCGCUUGAGGAGGGGGUCGCGGCUGAUUAGCUAGUUGGCGGGGUAAUGGCCCACCAAGGCGAAGAUCGGUAUCCGGCCUGAGAGGGCGCACGGACACACUGGAACUGAAACACGGUCCAGACUCCUACGGGAGGCAGCAGUGGGGAAUUUUGCGCAAUGGGGGAAACCCUGACGCAGCAACGCCGCGUGGAGGAUGAAGUCCUUUGGGACGUAGACUCCUUUCGACCGGGACGAUUAUGACGGUACCGGUGGAGGAAGCCCCGGCUAACUUCGUG